Molecule: long non-coding RNA, 1215 nt
Filed under: Homo sapiens (human)
Lineage: Eukaryota; Metazoa; Chordata; Mammalia; Primates; Hominidae
Description: HSALNT0020376
Source: RNAcentral
AGGCAGGAAACAGGGAUUUAAAAAAAGUUUGGGGAUGGGUGUGGGGCACUGUAAGCCAGGUGGUAGGUGGGGAGGAGAAGAGGACUGAGGAGGCGGCCUAAGGAUUUUCUAAAUGGCCCAGGCUUCUGGGAGGGAAGCACCUUCUGCAUCUCUUUUCCUCCCUCCCUCACCUGCCUUUGCUGGUGUGGCCCAGUGGCCCCUCUCUGUGGGAAGAGACAGAAGAAAAUGAAAAAAACCACCAUUGUGUGUAUUCGCAUGCGUGUGGGCGUCCUCUCAGGGGGAAGUGGCCCUGUCUUUGCACUGCCCCCAUUCCAAGUAGAUCAGGAAAACAUGCGGCCUGAUUGUUGGCCCUACACUUAGGACUCCAGAUAAUUACAUUCACAGAGAGUGUGCACUAGCCCUGGAGGUGAGAAUGACUACUCCAGCCCUCUUCCCAAGCUCAUUCCCUGUGGCAGCUGAACACGUGAAGGAUGGAGUGGAAAAGCUCUGGAAGUGUGCAUGUGUGUAAAAAGGACUCAAGUCGCCAACAUUAGCUGAACCCACACACUGAGUGGGGUCCCUGCGUGUUUCUGUGCCUGCGUGUUAAGGAGUGGUGGUAUGGGUUGGGUCCUCUGUCCCUGGGAGAUUCUGUGCCUGCGUGUUAAGGAGUGGUGGUAUGGGUUGGGUCCUCUGUCCCUGGGAGAAAGUCCGCCACUCAGGAAAUAGGAGGCUGACUGGCAUACGGAAAGCAGAGAGCUGCUUCAACUUCUAGGGUCUAGGCUAGAAUCUAGGGUACGGAAUAAUACUCAGCUGCUGUUUAUUAUAUGUUUCAGAUUCCAAGGACCAGAAAACCCCACAAGCAGCAAGGCAGCAUGGUAUGCUGGACAAAGCAUGGAUCAGAGGGCCGGAAAGCCUGGGUUCAGAUGUCUGAUGGUGCCCCUUCACUGUGUGGUCUUGGGAAAUUUCCCUCCCCUUUCUGAGUAUCUUUUUCCUCAUCUGUGAAAGGAACUGUCCCGGUCUUCACAGAGCCGCUGAUAGCUUAAGCGAGUCCUGUGUGUAACGUGCAGGCUUGAGUGAGCUAUCCCUCCUUCUUGUGCCUCAGUCUUCUCUAUUGCACAAAGAGGGAGCUGGAGGAGAUGGUUCUGGACGGCCAAUUCCUUCCAGAUCUUUUUUUUUUUUUUUUGAGAUGCAGUCUCGCUCUGUCGCCCAGGCUGGAGUGCAGUGGUGCGAUCUCGG